This 400-nucleotide unclassified non-coding RNA is filed under the name uncultured fungus. Its description in RNAcentral is "sequence contains ITS1". The record is from RNAcentral. Lineage: Eukaryota; Fungi.
UAUGAUGAGAAGGACUCUUUGUCAGAACACGUCCGUGGUUAUGCCAGACUUGUUUGUAAGUAUGACGAAUACGGCAACAGAGUCGAAGAGGCAUUUUUUGACCGGAGUGGAAACCUCACGCGCAUUCCUGACGGGUUCUCGAACAUCAAGAUAAAGUAUGAUUCGUAUGGCAAUCGUGUGGAGGACUCGUUUUUAGAUGAGCAGGGAGAGCCGGCCAGAUUGAACGGGACCUACUCAAAGUUCCGUAUGAAGUAUGAUGGCCAGGGUCGCUGGAUCGAAGCGGCAUGUCUUGAUGGACUCGAUCGUCGGGCUCGCUGCCCGAAAGGCUAUGCCCGAUGGGUAGCGAAAUAUGGAGCUGACGAUAAGGUCGUCAAGAAGAACUUCUAUGAUACCGAUGAUC